AUACACCUAUAGUCAUAUAUUGAAAGAAAAAAUGGAUAUUACAAAGUAGAGUGGAAUUCGGAAUUCAAAUGCUUCCUUCAGAUAAUUCCUGCAUGAAAUUCAUAACAGCAGCAGAAGUACUGCUACUACUACUUAUUAACUUGAAUAAACGAAAUUAAUAUACACUGAGAUUUUUAAUAGAAAAUGCUCUGAAUUUUUUUCCUAUAACUGGUAGUAGCUAUGGUUAUUUUCUUGCAAGCAAAUGCUGUGUAAUCGUAGGAUAAGGCUGCAUCUUUUUGUCUCAUUACUUGCUGGAGCCAAAGAUUUUGCAUCCUGCAUCAUAUAUCUAACGAGAAACAUUAAAUUGCUAUUUCGAUAAUUAGUUUGGAAAUAAAAUAUAUCUACUUAGUAUAUAUGGAGAGUAUUUGAAUGCAUAUAAUAUACAACGAGAUACACGAAUAGCUGUAGGAAAUAUAUAGGAAGCGCCCCGUCAAGAAGG
Molecule: long non-coding RNA, 478 nt
Filed under: Nicotiana benthamiana
Lineage: Eukaryota; Viridiplantae; Streptophyta; Magnoliopsida; Solanales; Solanaceae
Description: long non-coding RNA (NBEN_LNC042152)
Source: RNAcentral